This 1241-nucleotide ribosomal RNA is filed under the name Limosilactobacillus fermentum. RNAcentral's name for it is "bacterial SSU rRNA". It matches the Rfam family "Bacterial small subunit ribosomal RNA", at positions 208 to 1436 of the family's 1533-position model. Lineage: Bacteria; Bacillati; Bacillota; Bacilli; Lactobacillales; Lactobacillaceae. The record is from RNAcentral.
UGGCUUCUCGCUAUCACUUCUGGAUGGACCUGCGGUGCAUUAGCUUGUUGGUGGGGUAACGGCCUACCAAGGCGAUGAUGCAUAGCCGAGUUGAGAGACUGAUCGGCCACAAUGGGACUGAGACACGGCCCAUACUCCUACGGGAGGCAGCAGUAGGGAAUCUUCCACAAUGGGCGCAAGCCUGAUGGAGCAACACCGCGUGAGUGAAGAAGGGUUUCGGCUCGUAAAGCUCUGUUGUUAAAGAAGAACAAGUAUGAGAGUAACUGUUCAUACGUUGACGGUAUUUAACCAGAAAGUCACGGCUAACUACGUGCCAGCAGCCGCGGUAAUACGUAGGUGGCAAGCGUUAUCCGGAUUUAUUGGGCGUAAAGAGAGUGCAGGCGGUUUUCUAAGUCUGAUGUGAAAGCCUUCGGCUUAACCGGAGAAGUGCAUCGGAAACUGGAUAACUUGAGUGCAGAAGAGGGUAGUGGAACUCCAUGUGUAGCGGUGGAAUGCGUAGAUAUAUGGAAGAACACCAGUGGCGAAGGCGGCUACCUGGUCUGCAACUGACGCUGAGACUCGAAAGCAUGGGUAGCGAACAGGAUUAGAUACCCUGGUAGUCCAUGCCGUAAACGAUGAGUGCUAGGUGUUGGAGGGUUUCCGCCCUUCAGUGCCGGAGCUAACGCAUUAAGCACUCCGCCUGGGGAGUACGACCGCAAGGUUGAAACUCAAAGGAAUUGACGGGGGCCCGCACAAGCGGUGGAGCAUGUGGUUUAAUUCGAAGCUACGCGAAGAACCUUACCAGGUCUUGACAUCUUGCGCCAACCCUAGAGAUAGGGCGUUUCCUUCGGGAACGCAAUGACAGGUGGUGCAUGGUCGUCGUCAGCUCGUGUCGUGAGAUGUUGGGUUAAGUCCCGCAACGAGCGCAACCCUUGUUACUAGUUGCCAGCAUUAAGUUGGGCACUCUAGUGAGACUGCCGGUGACAAACCGGAGGAAGGUGGGGACGACGUCAGAUCAUCAUGCCCCUUAUGACCUGGGCUACACACGUGCUACAAUGGACGGUACAACGAGUCGCGAACUCGCGAGGGCAAGCAAAUCUCUUAAAACCGUUCUCAGUUCGGACUGCAGGCUGCAACUCGCCUGCACGAAGUCGGAAUCGCUAGUAAUCGCGGAUCAGCAUGCCGCGGUGAAUACGUUCCCGGGCCUUGUACACACCGCCCGUCACACCAUGAGAGUUUGUAACACCCAAAGUCGGUGGGGU